This 477-nucleotide long non-coding RNA is filed under the name Marmota monax (woodchuck). The record is from RNAcentral. Lineage: Eukaryota; Metazoa; Chordata; Mammalia; Rodentia; Sciuridae.
AAUAGUGUGAAACUGCCUUCUGCAGUCAGGAAUACACUAUUCAAGAAAGACCCCAAUGCUAGAGGCAGGUACAAUCUCUACAUGGUAGAUGGCAAAUAUAUUUUCAAGGAAAGAGAGUCAUCUGAUGGCUGGAACAUUUUGAAGUUUUUGAGAACUUCUGCUCUGGUUCCCUAAAUCUCAAUUCCAUUCACAUCUCUCAGAGGGUCACAGUAGACAGCUUUGGAAACUAUACCUCCUGUGGACAAAUUGACUUCUCCUGAGGUGGAUCUUGGAAAACUCUGGAAACUGAAAAUCUCACAAGGGGCAGCAGUAAAGAAACAGAGCUGAACAGCAGAGGGAAGGGUGCUCUCUGCAUGGCUUUGCCAUCUGUCCCAUCAGUCCUGCCAGGUGCUCUGCUGGGGAGCUAAAGUCCUCCUCCUCCUUCAUCGUAUUCUUCCUCCCUUCAUGUCCUCUCCUUCCUCAUUCCCUCAUUCCUUA